UGGCGUCUGUCUUACGGAGCCGGCUACGCUGCGAAGCGGUUCGUAUUCCGUGCUCACUUAAAGCACUGAACAUCCGACAUCUUGGUUUGACUUCCUGGUACAGGAUACUUGCACUUAGCAUGGAGUGAUGAAGCAGAGCAGUGUACUUUUAUUAAAUGUGCAGAUUUUAGCAGUAUAACAGCCGUUCAUUAAAAAAAUACAUGUGUGCUGAAAAUAAAGUGUUCUUACCGACA
Molecule: long non-coding RNA, 233 nt
Filed under: Dermacentor andersoni
Lineage: Eukaryota; Metazoa; Arthropoda; Arachnida; Ixodida; Ixodidae
Description: uncharacterized LOC126540008
Source: RNAcentral